This 255-nucleotide unclassified non-coding RNA is filed under the name uncultured Penicillium. RNAcentral describes it as "sequence contains 5.8S rRNA gene". The stretch from base 1 to 53 matches the Rfam family "5.8S ribosomal RNA", at positions 102 to 154 of the family's 154-position model. Lineage: Eukaryota; Fungi; Ascomycota; Eurotiomycetes; Eurotiales; Aspergillaceae. The record is from RNAcentral.
GAACGCACAUUGCGCCCCCUGGUAUUCCGGGGGGCAUGCCUGUCCGAGCGUCAUUGCUUCCCUCAAGCACGGCUUGUGUGUUGGGCUCCGUCCCCCCGGGGACGGGUCCGAAAGGCAGCGGCGGCACCGAGUCCGGUCCUCGAGCGUAUGGGGCUUUGUCACCCGCUCUGUAGGCCCGGCCGGCGCCAGCCGACAACCAAUCAUCCUUUUUUCAGGUUGACCUCGGAUCAGGUAGGGAUACCCGCUGAACUUAAG